ACGCGGAAGAGGCCAAACCAGAGGUAGAAAUACCUUUGGGGUUCGGACAACAUACGAUAUUGACAAUUUCUAGCUGAAUAGUGUGGGAAAGCUAACCGAAGAAGGUGAGAGUCCUGUAAGCGAAAGGAAGAGUCAGUCAGUUGUAUCCAGAGUACCGCCGGACACGUGAAACCCGGUGGGAAUACGGGGGGACCAUCCUCCAAGCCUAAAUACUACCUAGUGACCGAUAGAGAAGAAGUACUGUGAAGGAAAGGUGAAAAGCACCCCGGGAGGGGAGUGAAAGAGAACCUGAAACCUUGUGUUUACAAGCACCGAAAGUCCAUCAAAGGACGAUCGGGUACCUUUUGUAGAAUGGUCCGGCGAGUGUAUGUAUCUAGCAAGGUUAAGCACUUAAGGUGUGAAGCCAAAGCGAAAGCAAGUCUGAAUAGGGCGACAAGUUAGAUGUAUACGACCCGAAACCGGGUGACCUACCCAUGGCCAGGCUGAAGUGAAGGUAAAACUUCAUGGAGGGCCGAACCGACUCCCGUUGAAAUGGUAGCGGAUGAGUUGUGGGUAGCGGAGAAAUUCCAAUCGAACCCGGAGAUAGCUGGUUCUCUCCGAAAUAGCUUUAGGGCUAGCCUUGAAAUAGAUUACUGGAGGUAAAGCACUGAAUUGGCUAGGGGCCGAAAGGUUACUGAACCUUAUCAAACUCAGAAUGCCAGAUAAUCGUUUUUCAGGAGUCAGACGGUGGGAGAUAAGUUUCAUCGUCAAAAGGGAAACAGCCCAGACCCACAGCUAAGGUCCCAAAUUAUAGUUAAGUGGAGAAGGAUGUGGGAUUGCAUAGACAACCAGGAUGUUGGCUUAGAAGCAGCCACUCAUUAAAAGAGUGCGUAAUAGCUCACUGGUCGAGUGAUCCCGCGCCGAAAAUUUAACGGGGCUAAACUAUAAACCGAAGCUUGGGAUACCGUAAGGUAUGGUAGGAGAGCGUCAUGUAAGGGGUGAAGUCAUAGCGAAAGCGGUGGUGGACUUUACAUGAGUGAGAAUGCCGGAAUGAGUAGCGAGAAUUAAGUGAGAAUCUUAAUGGCCGAAAGUCUAAGGUUUUUGGAGGAAGGUUCGUCCGCUCCAAGUAAGUCGGGAGCUAAGGCGAGGCCGAAAGGCGUAGUCGAUGCACAUACGGUUGAUAUUCCGUAACCACUGACAACUUAAACAAAAUGACACUUUAGAAGGGCUUGACCCGGGUGCUGGUAAUCCCGGGCGUAAGGGACCGAAAUUUAGUAGGGAAGCAAGCUUGGAUGGAGGCGAGAAAAGUUUUGUGUAUGUAAUGUUGGUGCCCGUACCGCAAACCGACACAGGUGGACAGGAAGAGAAUUCUAAGGCCAGCGGGAGAAGGGUAGUUAAGGAACUCGGCAAAUUGACUCCGUAACUUCGGGAAAAGGAGUGCUCUCGAGAGAGAGCCGCAGUGAAUAGGCCCAGGCGACUGUUUAGCAAAAACACAGGUCUCUGCCAAAUCGAAAGAUGAAGUAUAGGGGCUGACACCUGCCCGGUGCUGGAAGGUUAAGAGGAGGAGUGAGAGCUCCGAAUUGAAGCCCCAGUAAACGGCGGCCGUAACUAUAACGGUCCUAAGGUAGCGAAAUUCCUUGUCGGGUAAGUUCCGACCCGCACGAAUGGUGUAACGAUCUGGGCACUGUCUCAACUACCCGCCCGGCGAAAUUGUAGUACCGGUGAAGAUGCCGGUUACCUGCGACAAGACGGAAAGACCCCAUGGAGCUUUACUGUAGCUUGAUAUUGGGUUUCGGUAAUUUAUGUACAGGAUAUGUGGGAGACUGGGAAGUUAUGGCGCCAGCCAUAAUGGAGUCGAUGUUGGGAUACCACACUUAGAUUGCUGGAAUUCUAACCUGUGGCCAUGAAACUGGUCAGGGGACAUUGUCAGGUGGGCAGUUUGACUGGGGCGGUCGCCUCCGAAAGAGUAACGGAGGCGCUCAAAGGUUGGCUCAGCACGGACGGAAACCGUGCAUUAGAGUGUAAACGCGUAAGCCAGCCUAACUGCGAGGGUGACGGCCCGAGCAGUAACGAAAGUUGGAGUUAGUGAUCCGGCGGUAUG
RNAcentral lists this ribosomal RNA (2080 nucleotides) under human gut metagenome. RNAcentral describes it as "bacterial LSU rRNA". It matches the Rfam family "Bacterial large subunit ribosomal RNA", at positions 257 to 2430 of the family's 2925-position model. The record is from RNAcentral.